UACGUAGGGUGCAAGCGUUAAUCGGAAUUACUGGGCGUAAAGCGUGCGCAGGCGGUUGUGCAAGACAGAUGUGAAAAUCCCCGGGCUUAACCUGGGAACUGCAUUUGUGACUGCACGGCUAGAGUGCGGCAGAGGGGGGAUGGAAUUCCGCGUGUAGCAGUGAAAAUGCGUAGAUAUGCGGAGGAACACCGAUGGCGAAGGCAAUCCCCUGGGCCUGCACUGACGCUCAUGCACGAAAGCGUGGGGAGCAAACAGG
This 256-nucleotide ribosomal RNA is filed under the name uncultured bacterium. Its description in RNAcentral is "partial 16S ribosomal RNA". It matches the Rfam family "Bacterial small subunit ribosomal RNA", at positions 524 to 776 of the family's 1533-position model. The record is from RNAcentral.